This 825-nucleotide ribosomal RNA is filed under the name Triticum aestivum (bread wheat). Its description in RNAcentral is "partial small subunit ribosomal RNA". The record is from RNAcentral. Lineage: Eukaryota; Viridiplantae; Streptophyta; Magnoliopsida; Poales; Poaceae.
AUUGUCAGGAGGAAUUUUAUCGCUCCCGAUGCUGAUGCUAUAUUGAACAUACCAUUGCGGCAAGGGGGAGGUGAGGACUUCUGGGUAUGGGCGUGGGAGAAGAUGGGUGUCUAUACUGUAAAAUCUGCAUAUCGGGCUCUUAUGACUCGCAACGAGCACUUAGCUCUAGAGGAAGGGACGACUACGGGUACUUCAGAGACAGAAAAACAGUUAUGGGCAAGGUUGUGGAAGCUACAAAUGGUACCUAAAGUUCGUGUGUUCUGGUGGCGAGUUCUACGGGGAAUCCUUCCUGUCGAGCGAACACUACAGCACAGACAUAUAGCCACCACAGCUAGAUGUAAAGUCUGCCUAGCUGCAGACGAGGAUUUGAUGCAUGCGCUGAUUAAGUGCACUCAUGCAAAGAGGUUCUGGGGGGAAGCGAGAGAGUGGCUACAAGUGAAACUUCUGGCUCUCCACCCAGAAACAUGGAUGAAAGAUAUACUUUGUGACUCAAGGUUACAAGAAACUGAUAGGACAAAAUUUGUUUCUGUCAUGUGGGCGAUUUGGACUUCCAGAAAUAAUAUAACACAUGACAAGGAAAGUUCAAACCCAGUCCAGUUUAUGAGAGCGAUCAAGGAUGCUUUGGCGGUGCUAGAACUUCCUGUGGAGCACACCAAAGUCUUGACCGGCUACGGAUGGAGACCACCUGAGGGUGAUGGGAUUAAGAUCAACACCGAUGCAGGUAUCUCUAGUGAGGAGAGAAAAGGGGUGCCUAUCUCUAGUGAGGGAUCGCUCGGUCUUCGACUGCCUUUCUUGCGGCUUGGAGCAAGCUUUAUCCUGGAGUGA